Molecule: ribosomal RNA, 343 nt
Filed under: uncultured soil bacterium
Lineage: Bacteria
Description: bacterial SSU rRNA
Rfam family: Bacterial small subunit ribosomal RNA
Source: RNAcentral
AGAUUGAACGCUGGCGGCAUGCCUUACACAUGCAAGUCGAACGGCAGCACGGGGGCAACCCUGGUGGCGAGUGGCGAACGGGUGAGUAAUGCAUCGGAACGUGCCCAGUAGUGGGGGAUAACUAGUCGAAAGAUUAGCUAAUACCGCAUACGACCUAAGGGUGAAAGCGGGGGAUUCGCAAGAACCUCGCGCUAUCGGAGCGGCCGAUGUCUGAUUAGCUGGUGGCGGGUAAAGCCCACCAAGGCUUCGAUCAGUAGCUGGUCUGAGGAGGACCGACCAGCCACACGUGGGACUGAGACCACGGCCCAGACCUCCUACGGGAGCAGCAGGUAGGGGUAAUUUU